RNAcentral lists this ribosomal RNA (459 nucleotides) under uncultured bacterium. RNAcentral describes it as "partial 16S ribosomal RNA". It matches the Rfam family "Bacterial small subunit ribosomal RNA", at positions 339 to 795 of the family's 1533-position model. The record is from RNAcentral.
CUACGGGGCGCUCCAGUAAGGAAUAUUGCGCAAUGGAGGCAACUCUGACGCAGCCAUGCCGCGUGCAGGAAGAAGGCCUUAUGGGUCGUAAACUGCUUUUAUUUAGGAAUAAACCCCCGAACGUGUUCGGGGCUGAAGGUACUAAACGAAUAAGCACCGGCUAACUCCGUGCCAGCAGCCGCGGUAAUACGGAGGGUGCAAGCGUUAUCCGGAUUUAUUGGGUUUAAAGGGUGCGCAGGCGGGCUAUUAAGUCAGUGGUGAAAUCCCGGGGCUCAACUCCGGAACUGCCAUUGACACUGAUAGCCUUGAGUUUGGUUGAAGUGGGCGGAAUGUAGCAUGUAGCGGUGAAAUGCAUAGAUAUGCUACAGAACACCAAUCGCGAAGGCAGCUCACUAAGCCAAAACUGACGCUCAUGCACGAAAGCGUGGGGAUCAAACAGGAUUAGAUACCCUUGUAGUC